CUCUUAUCUAGAGUGGUGGAGGGACUGGCCCGAUGAUACCCGGCAACCGAGCUUAUAAAUUGUAAGCUUAGGUGCUAAUUCCUGCAAAACGGUUUUCGUUUUGAAAGAUAAGAG
RNAcentral lists this non-coding RNA (114 nucleotides) under Bacillus manliponensis. RNAcentral's name for it is "SAM-I sequence". It matches the Rfam family "SAM riboswitch aptamer (S box leader)". Rfam says of the family: The SAM riboswitch is found upstream of a number of genes which code for proteins involved in methionine or cysteine biosynthesis in Gram-positive bacteria. The SAM riboswitch acts at the level of transcription termination control. Lineage: Bacteria; Bacillati; Bacillota; Bacilli; Caryophanales; Bacillaceae. The record is from Rfam by way of RNAcentral.